Non-coding RNA from Erinaceus europaeus (western European hedgehog), 128 nucleotides. The record is from Rfam. Lineage: Eukaryota; Metazoa; Chordata; Mammalia; Eulipotyphla; Erinaceidae.
UGUGAUGACUGGUACAGGGGUACGGACCUCAGCUAAGUCAUGGGAGCUGAAUGUGUAUGUUUCUCUACUGUCCUGUGUGUGGCGGACUGAUGGUGGAUACUUACAUGAGACAAAAAUAAAUAAAUAAA